This 200-nucleotide ribosomal RNA is filed under the name uncultured bacterium. RNAcentral describes it as "partial 16S ribosomal RNA". It matches the Rfam family "Bacterial small subunit ribosomal RNA", at positions 29 to 259 of the family's 1533-position model. The record is from RNAcentral.
AACGAACGCUGGCGGCAGCUUAACACAUGCAAGUCGAACGCUCCGCAAGGAGAGUGGCAGACGGGUGAGUAACGCGUGGGAACCUUCCUAUUGGUUUGGAAUAGCUCAGGGAAACUUGGGGUAAUACCGGAUAAGCCCUACGGGGGAAAGAUUUAUCGCCAAUAGAUGGGCCCGCGUCUGAUUAGCUAGUUGGUGAGGUA